GAUGAACGCUAGCGGCGGGCCUAAUACAUGCAAGUCGAGGGGUAUAUUUCUUUCGGGAGAUAGAGACCGGCGGACGGGUGCGUAACGCGUAUGCAACUUACCCAUAACUGAGGGAUAGCCCGGGGAAACUCGGAUUAAUACCACAUAGUACUAAAGAAUCGCAUGUGGAAAUAGUUAAAGAUUUAUUGGUUAUGGAUGGGCAUGACGUCUGAUUAGUUAGUUGGUGAGGUAACGGCUCACCAAGGCGAUGAUCAGUAGGGGGUCUGAGAGGAUGAUCCCCCCACACUGGCACUGAGAUACGGGCCAGACUCCUACGGGAGCAGC
RNAcentral lists this ribosomal RNA (324 nucleotides) under uncultured bacterium. RNAcentral's name for it is "bacterial SSU rRNA". It matches the Rfam family "Bacterial small subunit ribosomal RNA", at positions 28 to 352 of the family's 1533-position model. The record is from RNAcentral.